UGAGAUAUGGUGUAAUGGUAGCACUACAGAUUCUGGCUCUGUCAGUGAGGGUUCGAAUCCUUCUAUCUCAACUA
RNAcentral lists this transfer RNA (74 nucleotides) under Alistipes sp. CAG:514. RNAcentral describes it as "transfer RNA-Gln(CTG)". It matches the Rfam family "tRNA". From Rfam's summary of the family: Transfer RNA (tRNA) molecules are approximately 80 nucleotides in length. Their secondary structure includes four short double-helical elements and three loops (D, anti-codon, and T loops). RNAcentral also lists the same sequence under 3 other names. The record is from RNAcentral. Lineage: Bacteria; Pseudomonadati; Bacteroidota; Bacteroidia; Bacteroidales; Rikenellaceae.